RNAcentral lists this transfer RNA (66 nucleotides) under chicken gut metagenome. It matches the Rfam family "tRNA", at positions 5 to 66 of the family's 71-position model. Rfam says of the family: Transfer RNA (tRNA) molecules are approximately 80 nucleotides in length. Their secondary structure includes four short double-helical elements and three loops (D, anti-codon, and T loops). The record is from RNAcentral. RNAcentral also lists the same sequence under 1 other name.
UCGGUAGUUCAGCUGGUUAGAACGCUAGCCUGUCACGCUAGAGGUCGUGGGUUCGAACCCCAUCCG